GUCGCGCUGAGCAUCGGCUCGUACGCCUCCGUCGCCGUGAUCGGCGGAGCGGGCGCGGUGCUGCCGAUGCGGCUGCGGAUCGCGCUCGCCGGUGCCAUG
RNAcentral lists this transfer RNA (99 nucleotides) under Streptomyces abikoensis. RNAcentral describes it as "tRNA-His". Lineage: Bacteria; Bacillati; Actinomycetota; Actinomycetes; Kitasatosporales; Streptomycetaceae. The record is from RNAcentral.